This 253-nucleotide ribosomal RNA is filed under the name uncultured bacterium. RNAcentral's name for it is "partial 16S ribosomal RNA". It matches the Rfam family "Bacterial small subunit ribosomal RNA", at positions 524 to 776 of the family's 1533-position model. The record is from RNAcentral.
UACGGAGGGGGCUAGCGUUGUUCGGAAUUACUGGGUGUAAAGCGCGCGUAGGCGGCUUUGUAAGUUAGAGGUGAAAGCCCGGAGCUCAACUCCGGAAUUGCCUUUAAGACUGCAUCGCUAGAAUCAUGGAGAGGUGAGUGGAAUUCCGAGUGUAGAGGUGAAAUUCGUAGAUAUUCGGAAGAACACCAGUGGCGAAGGCGACUCACUGGACAUGUAUUGACGCUGAGGUGCGAAAGCGUGGGGAGCAAACAGG